GAAUUAUUCAAAAGUUAUUGACGAGUUAACCAAAAAUUACUUUCUUAUAUUUUCAUAUCUUAACAGUUGAAGAUUGUUGAGUAAAGACUGUUGUGUUGAUAUAUUUUCUGAUAUGAAGAGGCUUUUAUGCACUUUAUGUGGCUUGCUCAGGUAAUUUUUGUCUAUGACUGGUGUACUUAAUACAAAUCAUUAUAUAAUGGAUCUAGCAGUUGUCAAAUAAAUAACUGCAAAACAGCUCCAUCUGGUGUUUGCUAACACUGCUACAUACAUAUGUAUGUUGAACAUUCCAUUUUUCACUCUACAAAGUUUGUUUAAUAAAUUUCCCCUUAUUGUUUAUUACUACAGUUUCAUAACGGUCUGAUCUUUAUCAAUUCAUAUUUUUAUCCCCCCGUCGUAGCGGAGGGAGCGCUAAGUUUUACCCUUAUUUACUAAGGCAUUAUUUUUGAAUGAUUUGGUCUGUAAUAUGUUUCUAGUUCCCUGUUCAGCUAACAACUGUGAUGGGUUGUAUCUUCACUAACUGCUUUAACACUUGUGUGAUAAAAUACAAGAAGUUUUGUAAAUGAGUGUUUCAUAUGAUAUUGAAUAAAUUACAACAUAUUUUUUUCAAAGGUUGCUUUUCUUUACCAUUGUUUUUUUACGGACAAAGAACAAUUGUGUUAUGAUUCUCUACGUAGUCAGAUCUGAUCGUUGACAAUGGUCAUGGUUGUACCACUAUUAAUCUUGUAUAUGUGAUGUAUGUUUUAUUGUACUAUUGUCUUUCUCAGUGUGAAUGUGAACUUUGUGAACAUGAUGAAUAGAAGUGUUAUAUGAUGUCAGCUUUAAAAUACAGUAGACUCUUGUUACCUCAUACUCAAAUUGUCACAUAACUCAAAUCAAAAUUUUGGACUGUCUACUUUUAGAUUGAUAUUACUUGUGAGGAUUCUAUUUGAUUUGAUGUAACUAGAGACUGAUAAUAAAAGCACAAAUGAGUGGUCAAAGAGUGGACAGUUUUCUUACAUAUAUAGUCACAUUAUGGAUAUUUAUCAGUGGAUUUUAUGCAAAGUUCUUGUAAUGUUGAAAAUAUCAGUACUGCCAGCUGUUCAGUAGUUGAAAAAAAAAUUAUAAAAAAUUGAAAUUUUUGCUUUUAAACAUUUUAGCUCACUUAGCCUAGUCCAAGGGUUUUUCAUCUCUUGUUGUCCAUUGUUUCUCUGUUGUAAACUCUUUCAAAAAGCCACUUGGUAAAUGGGAAGCUAAGUAGAUUGGAAUUGUAUCUUGACAACAACCAACAUGAUGAUCAUAUCGGAAGCUAGGGGGGUUCAAGGGGUUUGUACGUACCCCCCUUGAAAACAAAAAAGCACUGUUAAAGUUGACGUUCUGUUUGAAUUGUAACUGUUAAAGUUGAGUAUGAUUGUAUCGAACCACCUUGGAAAUUCCUAGCUACAGUCCUGAUGAUUGACAUACUAAUAUUAUGUGUAAGGAAUGAGAUAUGAAAAAAAGCAUUUAUGCACUAGGAAACAAAAACAGUGCAGUAGUUCCAAUACUUUGAUUGUUACAGGAUAACUAUGGCAAUAAUAAAAGCUCACAUUUUAAAUUUUGAUAGUAAUAUUAGCCAGGUAAGCCAUUUCACCUCCUUGAAAGUAAGUUAUUUUGCUUUUCUUUUUAGAACUUUUUAAGAAUUUUGUUGUUAAGCCAAAUGAUCAAGAAGAAAAUAGAAGCCCACAUUGAAAAGUAGUAUUUUUGAAUCAUGGAGAAAAAAACUAAAUUUGUAAGUGUAUAAGUUUAGUUGUCUACAUUUACUACAACAUUCAUGAAAUGGACAAGUCAAAUAUUAUUUGAUAGUUUGGCUUCAGUGCUGGAGAAGUGGUUUUCAGCUUAAUUUUUUUUAUAAAAAUGCAUAAAAAGUAAAAUGAUGAACAAGAAAUAAUGAACUAAAAACUGAUUUUGUGAAUGAAUGUCCACAGCUGGUAAAUUAUUAGUGCUACCCAUAUCCUUAGUUAUUUAUGUGUGAGUGGUGUCAAGUAUGCAUAUUUGUUAUUGUUAAACUUUUACUAUUUUUAUGUAAAUUGUUUUGAUAUAUAUUGUUAUAGAAUUUUUGUGCUUGUACAAAUAUCAAAAGAUUCUUUAAUUUUAAAGUAUUUAUUAUUGAACAUCAUUGUUUAUUAUACAAUGAAAUAUGUGCUGAUUCUUCAAGCUUUUGGUACAGUAUAGAAAACUUUACAUUUGAAAGCUUGCCUUCUAGUCCAUUUUUUUCUACAUCAAACCUUUUAAUUACUUAAUGUCACUUAUUGGAUUAAAAUAAGUGGUGGUAUUAGACUGAAAUAUAUUUUAAUCAAUUUCUUACACAUAAAAUAUGGUUUGAAUUACUAUUAUGGUGCAUAAAUAUCACAUUGCAGACAUAUGCUAUUCUGGGGUUAUUUCCCUUUAAUUGAUAAAAUUAUAUAUUAUGCAGUUAUCAUUGAAGAAAAAAUAAGUAACAGUUCAUACUUUAUGUAAGAAAUCAGCUGUUAAAUUUAGAAAAUAUCAAGAAGCUUAGGUUCCAACUUUCUCCUUUUAGUCUCAUUUUAAUUGUCAAAUACUGAUUAGAUUAUAGAUAUAUUACUGUAGCAGUUUGUGUAGUACUUCUGUGAUAAGGUUUAUUGAUGUAGAAUCAUACUUCAAAAUAAAUAUUAAAACUGCUCCUGUAAACUUCACCCUUUUCUUCUAGAUAAAAAAAAGGGUACUUUGACAAUUUUUGUGGUUAAAUCUGAUUGUUUCAUUUUGAUUCUUAAGGACAACCAGUAAUUUUGGGCCAAAAAAGUCUCCCUUGCUAGCAGGAUAAUUCCAAAAAAGCUUUGGGUAUGGCACUUUGAUUCAGAUGCAGCUGUUAUAUAUAUAUUUUUUUUUUUUUUUUUUUUUUUAUAAAUACAGGAUUUUCAAUUGAAUCUCAUCUACUGCUAUUAUGUAAGUUGAAUUCUCAUGUGUGAUAUAGAAGAAAAUUAGAUAAUUCUCAAAAAUCUUUGAGCAAUGGGCAUUAUUGGGAAAGUCUGUCCAAAUGCUUGAAGAAUAAGCAGUUAAAAAUUUGUAUGCAGUGCAUUUAAAAUGGAUAUUUGGUUGCAGUGGUACAAAUUUGUGCUUAUUUUAUAUAAAUAUUUUAUUAUAAGUAAUGUACAAACAUGAAAUGUAUGCAUUGAAUCUGAUAGUGUUUCACCCAAGGUGAAGAAGUUGUAUGAUUGUUUAUUGGCAAUAUUUUUCUUACUGAUAACAUUAAAUGUGAAAAAUC
This 3238-nucleotide long non-coding RNA is filed under the name Mytilus galloprovincialis (Mediterranean mussel). The record is from RNAcentral. Lineage: Eukaryota; Metazoa; Mollusca; Bivalvia; Mytilida; Mytilidae.